UAAGGAAUAUUGGACAAUGGGCGAAAGCCUGAUCCAGCAAUGCCGCGUGAGUGAAGAAGGCCUUCGGGUUGUAAAGCUCUUUUACCCGGGAAGAUAAUGACUGUACCGGGAGAAUAAGCCCCGGCUAACUCCGUG
RNAcentral lists this ribosomal RNA (135 nucleotides) under uncultured bacterium. Its description in RNAcentral is "partial 16S rRNA". It matches the Rfam family "Bacterial small subunit ribosomal RNA", at positions 355 to 507 of the family's 1533-position model. The record is from RNAcentral.